This 1375-nucleotide ribosomal RNA is filed under the name metagenome. RNAcentral describes it as "bacterial SSU rRNA". It matches the Rfam family "Bacterial small subunit ribosomal RNA". The record is from RNAcentral.
GGGAUAGUGGCGGACGGGUGAGUAACGCGUGAGAAUCUGCCCUCAGGAGGGGGAUAACGGCUGGAAACGGCCGCUAAUACCCCAUAUGCCGAGAGGUGAAACGAAUUUCGCCUGAGGAUGAGCCCGCGUCUGAUUAGCUAGUUGGUGGGGUAAUGGCCCACCAAGGCGACGAUCAGUAGCUGGUCUGAGAGGAUGAUCAGCCACACUGGGACUGAGACACGGCCCAGACUCCUACGGGAGGCAGCAGUGGGGAAUUUUCCGCAAUGGGCGAAAGCCUGACGGAGCAACGCCGCGUGAGGGAUGAAGGCCUCUGGGCUGUAAACCUCUUUUCUCAAGGAAGAAGACCUGACGGUACUUGAGGAAUAAGCCACGGCUAAUUCCGUGCCAGCAGCCGCGGUAAUACGGGAGUGGCAAGCGUUAUCCGGAAUUAUUGGGCGUAAAGCGUCCGCAGGCGGCCUUGUAAGUCUGUUGUUAAAGCGUGGAGCUUAACUCCAUUUAAGCAAUGGAAACUACAAGGCUGGAGUGUGGUAGGGGCAGAGGGAAUUCCCGGUGUAGCGGUGAAAUGCGUAGAUAUCGGGAAGAACACCAGUGGCGAAGGCGCUCUGCUGGGCCAUAACUGACGCUCAUGGACGGAAGCCAGGGGAGCGAAAGGGAUUAGAUACCCCUGUAGUCCUGGCCGUAAACGAUGAACACUAAGUGUCGGGGGAAUCGACCCCCUCGGUGUCGUAGCCAACGCGUUAAGUGUUCCGCCUGGGGAGUACGCACGCAAGUGUGAAACUCAAAGGAAUUGACGGGGGCCCGCACAAGCGGUGGAGUAUGUGGUUUAAUUCGAUGCAACGCGAAGAACCUUACCAGGGUUUGACAUCCUGCGAACCCCUGAGAAAUCGGGGGGUGCCUUCGGGAGCGCAGAGACAGGUGGUGCAUGGCUGUCGUCAGCUCGUGUCGUGAGAUGUUGGGUUAAGUCCCGCAACGAGCGCAACCCACGUCUUUAGUUGCCAGCAUUCAGUUGGGCACUCUAGAGAGACCGCCGGUGAUAAACCGGAGGAAGGUGUGGAUGACGUCAAGUCAUCAUGCCCCUUACAUCCUGGGCUACACACGUACUACAAUGCUACGGACAAAGGGCAGCAAGCUCGCGAGAGUUAGCAAAUCCCAUAAACCGUGGCUCAGUUCAGAUCGUAGGCUGCAACUCGCCUACGUGAAGGAGGAAUCGCUAGUAAUCGCAGGUCGGCAUACUGCGGUGAAUACGUUCCCGGGCCUUGUACACACCGCCCGUCACACCAUGGAAGUUGGCCAUGCCCGAAGUCGUUACUCCAACCCUUGUGGAGGAGGACGCCGAAGGUGGGGCUGAUGACUGGGGUGAAGUCGUAACAAGGUA